RNAcentral lists this unclassified non-coding RNA (205 nucleotides) under Hevea brasiliensis (rubber tree). Lineage: Eukaryota; Viridiplantae; Streptophyta; Magnoliopsida; Malpighiales; Euphorbiaceae. The record is from RNAcentral.
UGGAAAACGCGAUGAGGAGUUUGUUUCCAGAAGACAUUCCUCAUCAGCAAUCUCCACUGAGAGAACUUUCCCAGGCGGUUGAUCCAAACCGGCCUUCAUCAUCUUCCUCUUCAUUGAGAUCACUAUCCAUGGAUAGCCCAGAUAGCUCUCCUUUUUUGUUUAAUAUUCCAACAUCCCAAAUAUCAGAAAUCCCUCAAGAGACUCC